AUGAGUCUGCCCCCCGGACAGGAAAGCAGUUGGCACCUACCAACGGAGGUCUUCUUCAUCUGUCCGGAGCUGAGAAAGUCCGCCCAAGUGCGAGCAGACGCACAGCUGCAGAGGGACAGUGGAUCCAGGACAGAGCUACAAAGACCGAGGGCCACAAAGGAAGACUGCUUUAAAGACUGCCUGAGCUUAAGGAUUAGGGAAAACUCUUAUUUAAAAUUCAAAUAUUAUUCAUAAAAUAAUUACAGCAGGUGCUGCAAUACAAUCUGGUUCGAUUAGUCCUCCGUGUUCGAAGCG
This 294-nucleotide long non-coding RNA is filed under the name Oreochromis niloticus (Nile tilapia). RNAcentral describes it as "lncRNA (ENSONIG00000030162.1)". Lineage: Eukaryota; Metazoa; Chordata; Actinopteri; Cichliformes; Cichlidae. The record is from RNAcentral.